UGCAAGUCGAACGCAGUAGCAAUACUGAGUGGCAGACGGGUGAGUAUAAUGUGGGAAUCUGCCUUUUGGUUCGGAAUAACACGAGGAAACUUGUGCUAAUACCGGAUAAGCCUUUACAGGGAAAGUUUUAAUGCCAAAAGAUGAGCCCGCACUUGAUUAGCUAGUUGGUAAGGUAAUGGCUUACCAAGGCAACGAUCAAUAGCUGUUCUUAGAGGAAGACCAGCCACAUUGGGACUGAGACACGGCCCAAACUCCUACGGGAGGCAGCAGUGGGGAAUCUUGCACAAUGGGGGAAACCCUGAUGCAGCGAUGCCGCGUGAGUGAAGAAGGCCUUUGGGUUGUAAAACUCUUUCGUCGGGGAAGAAAAUGACUGUACCCGAAUAAGAAGGUCCGGCUAACUUCGUGCCAGCAGCCGCGGUAAUACGAAGGGACCUAGCGUAGUUCGGAAUUACUGGGCUUAAAGAGUUCGUAGGUGGUUAAAAUAGUUGAUGGUGAAAUCCCAAGGCUCAACCUUGGAACUGCCAUCAAAACUUUUUAGCUAGAGUAUGAUAGAGGAAAGUGGAAUUUCUAGUGUAGAGGUGAAAUUCGUAGAUAUUAGAAAGAACAUCAAAAGCGAAGGCAACUUUCUGGAUCAUUACUGACACUGAGGAACGAAAGCAUGGGUAGCGAAGAGGAUUAGAUACCCUCGUAGUCCAUGCCGUAAACGAUGUGUGCUAGACGUUGGAAACUUAGUUUUACAGUGUCGCAGAGAAAUCGUUAAG
This 761-nucleotide ribosomal RNA is filed under the name uncultured Pelagibacterales bacterium. Its description in RNAcentral is "bacterial SSU rRNA". It matches the Rfam family "Bacterial small subunit ribosomal RNA", at positions 56 to 864 of the family's 1533-position model. The record is from RNAcentral. Lineage: Bacteria; Pseudomonadati; Pseudomonadota; Alphaproteobacteria; Candidatus Pelagibacterales.